GAGUAGAUCUGCUCAUGAGGUAACUUGAAUAGCCGCAGUAUAUUGACUGUGCUAAGGUAGCAUAACAUUUGUCUUUUAAUUUGAGGCUGGAAUGAAUGGUUUGAUGGGGAGAAGCUGUCUAGCUCUAAGUCUAUUGAAUUUUAGAUCUUAGUAAAAACGCUAAGAUGAGGCUGAGGGACGAUAAGACCCUAUUAAGCUUUAUCUUUACUAGGGAGUGUGAUUGACAGGUACUUUUGAGAUUGAGGUUGCAUUGGGGCGAUGGGCAGAGGUGAGAACCUUUGCUAUAGAGGGAAGAGUUUUUAGAUCCGUUAUAUAGCGAUAAGAGGAUCAAGUUACUAUAGGGAUAACAGUAUGAUUUGCUUGGAGAGUUCAAAUUGAGAAGCAAGUUUGUUACCUCGAUGUUGAAUUAAAGUUUCUUUAAGGUGCAGUAGCUUUAGGGGGAGGGUCUGUUCGACCCUUUAAGCUUUACAUGAUCUGAGUUCAAACCGGAGA
RNAcentral lists this ribosomal RNA (492 nucleotides) under Caddo pepperella. Its description in RNAcentral is "partial 16S ribosomal RNA". It matches the Rfam family "Bacterial large subunit ribosomal RNA", at positions 1887 to 2622 of the family's 2925-position model. The record is from RNAcentral. Lineage: Eukaryota; Metazoa; Arthropoda; Arachnida; Opiliones; Caddidae.